CCUACGGGAGGCAGCAGUGGGGAAUAUUGGGCAAUGGAGGAAACUCUGACCCAGCGACGCCGCGUGCGGGAUGAAGGCCUUCGGGUUGUAAACCGCUUUCAGCAGGGAAUAAGCGCAAGUGAAGGUACCUGCAGAAGAAGCACCGGCUAACUAUGUGCCAGCAGCCGCGGUAAUACAUAGGGCGCAAGCGUUGUCCGGAAUUAUUGGGCGUAAAGAGCUCGUAGGUGGUUUGUUACGUCGGAUGUGAAUAUCAGGGGCUCAACCCCUGACCUGCAUUCGAUACGGGCAAGCUGGAGUUUGGUAGGGGAGACUGGAAUUCCUGGUGUAGCGGUGGAAUGCGCAGAUAUCAGGAGGAACACCGAUGGCGAAGGCAGGUCUCUGGGCCAAUACUGACACUGAGGAGCGAAAGCGUGGGGAGCGAACAGGAUUAGAUACCCUGGUAGUCCACGCCGUAAACGGUGGGCACUAGUUGUGCGAACCUUCCACGGUUUGUGCGACGCAGCUAACGCAUUAAGNGCCCCGCGUGGGGAGUACGAUCGCAAGAUUAAAACACGAAAGGAAUUAGACGGCGUGAGACGUAGCGAGACGACGACGAGGGAGAGG
Molecule: ribosomal RNA, 603 nt
Filed under: uncultured bacterium
Lineage: Bacteria
Description: bacterial SSU rRNA
Rfam family: Bacterial small subunit ribosomal RNA
Source: RNAcentral